ACUUAAAUUGAAGAGUUUGAUCAUGGCUCAGAUUGAACGCUGGCGGCAGGCCUAACACAUGCAAGUCGAGCGGUAGCACAGAGAGCUUGCUCUCGGGUGACGAGCGGCGGACGGGUGAGUAAUGUCUGGGAAACUGCCUGAUGGAGGGGGAUAACUACUGGAAACGGUAGCUAAUACCGCAUAACGUCGCAAGACCAAAGUGGGGGACCUUCGGGCCUCAUGCCAUCAGAUGUGCCCAGAUGGGAUUAGCUAGUAGGUG
Molecule: ribosomal RNA, 259 nt
Filed under: Klebsiella pneumoniae
Lineage: Bacteria; Pseudomonadati; Pseudomonadota; Gammaproteobacteria; Enterobacterales; Enterobacteriaceae
Description: partial 16S ribosomal RNA
Rfam family: Bacterial small subunit ribosomal RNA
Source: RNAcentral